This 282-nucleotide unclassified non-coding RNA is filed under the name Hevea brasiliensis (rubber tree). Lineage: Eukaryota; Viridiplantae; Streptophyta; Magnoliopsida; Malpighiales; Euphorbiaceae. The record is from RNAcentral.
CUACGGUGCAUUUUUCCUUUUUCUUGUUGCCCUACUUUUUGGCGGGAUAUGGGCAUGCUGCAAGCUAAGGAAGAAGAGACAUCAAGAUGGUGUUGCGUAUCAGGAAUUAGAGAUGGGAAUGCCAGAAUCUGCCUCAGCUGCAAAUGUUGUUGCAGCAGAUGGUUGGGAUCAGGGUUGGGAUGAUGAUUGGGAUGAGGAGAAUGCAGUUAAGUCACCAGGUGGACAUACCUACGGGAACAUCUCUGCUAAUGGCCUCACCUCUAGGUCUUCUAAAAAGAACGG